Molecule: ribosomal RNA, 109 nt
Filed under: bacterium ADurb.BinA186
Lineage: Bacteria
Source: RNAcentral
GGUGGUUAUAGCGGUGGGGUCACACCCGAUCUCAUCUCGAACUCGGAAGUUAAGUCCACCUGCGCCGAUGGUACUGCACGUUGCACGUGUGGGAGAGUAGGACACCGCC